RNAcentral lists this ribosomal RNA (431 nucleotides) under uncultured bacterium. RNAcentral's name for it is "partial 16S ribosomal RNA". It matches the Rfam family "Bacterial small subunit ribosomal RNA", at positions 29 to 507 of the family's 1533-position model. The record is from RNAcentral.
AACGAACGCUGGCGGCAGGCUUAACACAUGCAAGUCGAGCGCCCCGCAAGGGGAGCGGCAGACGGGUGAGUAACGCGUGGCAACGUACCUUUUGGUUCGUAACAACUCCGGGAAACUGGAGCUAAUACCGGAUAAGCCCUAACGGGGAAAGAUUUAUCGCCGAAAGAUCGGCCCGCGUCUGAUUAGCUAGUUGGUGAGGUAACGGCUCACCAAGGCGACGAUCAGUAGCUGGUCUGAGAGGAUGAUCAGCCACACUGGGACUGAGACACGGCCCAGACUCCUACGGGAGGCAGCAGUGGGGAAUAUUGGACAAUGGGCGCAAGCCUGAUCCAGCCAGGCCGCGUGAGUGAUGAAGGCCUUAGGGUUGUAAAGCUCUUUUGUCCGGGAAGAUAAUGACUGUACCGGAAGAAUAAGCCCCGGCUAACUUCGUG